GGCUGCCUGUCUCCUCUCUCAAUAUACUGCUCCGCUGCGAAAUCUUCGCACUUCCGCGCAUGGCGGGUGUCACAGAGCGGGCAAUACCUUCUCACUGCGUUUGUCCUCUUUUUGUUUUUUGCUCUUUUUUCCUCUCGUGAGGCCGUGACCCGCAUGUUCAUGACCAACAGAACGAACCAAAUGGAUGGUCUCGUUGGGGGCACUAGUAGAUCCAAAAGGGUCCGUCCCUCGUUAACGGGGAGGAUACCCCGUCUCGGGGCGUACCCAACCCCUAAGGGGUUGGCUCUUUGCCUCAGCGCCCCCAUCCAACUUGUUCAGCGAUGGGGGUAGGCCGGCUAUUCACAUUCU
RNAcentral lists this long non-coding RNA (348 nucleotides) under Brachypodium distachyon (stiff brome). RNAcentral describes it as "long non-coding RNA (BDIS_LNC001722)". The record is from RNAcentral. Lineage: Eukaryota; Viridiplantae; Streptophyta; Magnoliopsida; Poales; Poaceae.